RNAcentral lists this ribosomal RNA (200 nucleotides) under uncultured bacterium. RNAcentral's name for it is "partial 16S ribosomal RNA". It matches the Rfam family "Bacterial small subunit ribosomal RNA", at positions 8 to 200 of the family's 1533-position model. The record is from RNAcentral.
AGAGUUUGAUCCUGGCUCAGGACGAACGCUGGCGGCGUGCCUAAUACAUGCAAGUCGAGCGGAUCUGAUGAGGUGCUUGCACCUCUGAUGAUUAGCGGCGGACGGGUGAGUAACACGUAGGCAACCUGCCUGCAGGACCGGGAUAACAUUCGGAAACGAAUGCUAAUACCGGAUAAACGAUUUCCUCGCAUGGGGAGAUC